This 497-nucleotide ribosomal RNA is filed under the name uncultured bacterium. Its description in RNAcentral is "partial 16S ribosomal RNA". It matches the Rfam family "Bacterial small subunit ribosomal RNA", at positions 28 to 507 of the family's 1533-position model. The record is from RNAcentral.
GAUGAACGCUGGCGGCGUGCCUAAUACAUGCAAGUCGAGCGAACAGACGAGGAGCUUGCUCCUCUGCCGUUAGCGGCGGACGGGUGAGUAACACGUGGAUAACCUACCUAUAAGACUGGGAUAACUUCGGGAAACCGGAGCUAAUACCGGAUCAUAUAUUGAACCGCAUGGUUCAAUAGUGAAAGACGGUUUUGCUGUCACUUAUAGAUGGAUCCGCGCCGCAUUAGCUAGUUGGUAAGGUAACGGCUUACCAAGGCGACGAUGCGUAGCCGACCUGAGAGGGUGAUCGGCCACACUGGAACUGAGACACGGUCCAGACUCCUACGGGAGGCAGCAGUAGGGAAUCUUCCGCAAUGGGCGAAAGCCUGACGGAGCAACGCCGCGUGAGUGAUGAAGGUCUUCGGAUCGUAAAACUCUGUUAUUAGGGAAGAACAAAUGUGUAAGUAACUAUGCACGUCUUGACGGUACCUAAUCAGAAAGCCACGGCUAACUACGUG